RNAcentral lists this ribosomal RNA (425 nucleotides) under uncultured bacterium. Its description in RNAcentral is "bacterial SSU rRNA". It matches the Rfam family "Bacterial small subunit ribosomal RNA", at positions 354 to 796 of the family's 1533-position model. The record is from RNAcentral.
GUGGGGAGUAUUGGACAAUGGGGGAAACCCUGAUCCAGCCAUGCCGCGUGAGUGAUGAAGGCCUUCGGGUUGUAAAGCUCUUUUAGCGGGGAAGAUAAUGACGGUACCCGCAGAAUAAGCCCCGGCUAACUUCGUGCCAGCAGCCGCGGUAAGACGAAGGGGGCUAGCGUUGUUCGGAAUUACUGGGCGUAAAGGGCGCGCAGGCGGCUUUGCAAGUCAGGCGUUAAAGACCCAGGCUCAACCUGGGGAAUGCGCUUGAUACUGCGGAGCUUGAGAUCGGAAGAGGAGAGUGGAAUUCCCAGUGUAGAGGUGAAAUUCGUAGAUAUUGGGAAGAACACCAGUGGCGAAGGCGGCUCUCUGGUCCGAUUCUGACGCUGAGGCGCGAAAGCGUGGGGAGCAAACAGGAUUAGAUACCCUGGUAGUCC